RNAcentral lists this ribosomal RNA (443 nucleotides) under uncultured bacterium. Its description in RNAcentral is "partial 16S ribosomal RNA". It matches the Rfam family "Bacterial small subunit ribosomal RNA", at positions 338 to 795 of the family's 1533-position model. The record is from RNAcentral.
CCUACGUGAGGCAGCAGUGGGGGAUAUUGGACAAUGGGGGAAACCCUGAUCCAGCGACGCCGCGUGAGUGAAGAAGUCUUUCGGUAUGUAAAGCUCUAUCAGCAGGGAAGAAAGAAAUGACGGUACCUGAGUAAGAAGCCCCGGCUAACUACGUGCCAGCAGCCGCGGUAAUACGUAGGGGGCAAGCGUUAUCCGGAAUUACUGGGUGUAAAGGGAGCGUAGACGGUAAUGCAAGUCUGGAGUGAAAGGCGGGGGCUCAACCCCCGGACUGCGCGGGAAACUGUGUAACUGGAGUGCAGGAGAGGCAGGCGGAAUUCCUAGUGUAGCGGUGAAAUGCGUAGAGAUUAGGAGGAACACCAGUGGCGAAGGCGGCCUGCUGGACUGUAACUGACGUUGAGGCUCGAAAGCGUGGGGAGCAAACAGGAUUAGAUACCCCAGUAGUC